CAACGGCAAGUAGCAAUACUGUGGGUGGCGAGUGGCGGACGGGUGAGGAAUACAUCGGGAUCUACCCUGUUGUGGGGGAUAACGUAGGGAAACUUGCGCUAAUACCGCAUAAGAACUGAGGUUGAAAGCGGCGGACCGCAAGGCGUCGCGCGAUUGGAUGAACCGAUGUCCGAUUAGCUAGUUGGCGGGGUAAAGGCCCACCAAGGCGACGAUCGGUAGCUGGUCUGAGAGGACGACCAGCCACACUAGAACUGAGACACGGUCCAGACUCCUACGGGAGGCAGCAGUGGGGAAUAUUGGACAAUGGGCGCAAGCCUGAUCCAGCCAUGCCGCGUGGGUGAAGAAGGCCUUCGGGUUGUAAAGCCCUUUUGUCCGGAAAGAAAAGCUCGUGGUUAAUACCCGCGGGUUCUGACGGUACCGGAAGAAUAAGCACCGGCUAACUUCGUGCCAGCAGCCGCGGUAAUACGAAGGGUGCAAGCGUUACUCGGAAUUACUGGGCGUAAAGCGUGCGUAGGUGGUGCGUUAAGUCUGUCGUGAAAUCCCCGGGCUCAACCUGGGAAUGGCGAUGGAUACUGGCGCGCUAGAGUGCGGUAGAGGAGAGUGGAAUUCCCGGUGUAGCAGUGAAAUGCGUAGAGAUCGGGAGGAACAUCAGUUGCGAAGGCGGCUCUCUGGACCAGCACUGACACU
This 687-nucleotide ribosomal RNA is filed under the name uncultured Lysobacteraceae bacterium. Its description in RNAcentral is "bacterial SSU rRNA". It matches the Rfam family "Bacterial small subunit ribosomal RNA", at positions 64 to 747 of the family's 1533-position model. The record is from RNAcentral. Lineage: Bacteria; Pseudomonadati; Pseudomonadota; Gammaproteobacteria; Lysobacterales; Lysobacteraceae.